GAUGAACGCUGGCGGCGUGCCUAAUACAUGCAAGUCGAGCGAACAGACGAGGAGCUUGCUCCUCUGACGUUAGCGGCGGACGGGUGAGUAACACGUGGAUAACCUACCUAUAAGACUGGGAUAACUUCGGGAAACCGGAGCCAAUACCGGGUAAUAUAUUGAACUGCAUGGUUCAAUAGUGAAAGACGGUUUUGCUGUCACUUAUAGAUGGAUCCGCGCCGCAUUAGCUAGUUGGUAAGGUAACGGCUUACCAAGGCAACGAUGCGUAGCCGACCUGAGAGGGUGAUCGGCCACACUGGAACUGAGUCACGGUCCAGACUCCUACGGGAGGCCGCCGUAGGGACUCUUCCGCAAUGGGCGAAAGCCUGACGGAGCAACGCCGCGUGAGUGAUGCAGGUCUUCGGAUCGUAAAACUCUGUUAUUAGGGAAGAACAAAUGUGUAAGUAACUAUGCACGUCUUGACGGUACCUAAACAGAAAGCCACGGCUAACUACGUG
Molecule: ribosomal RNA, 497 nt
Filed under: uncultured bacterium
Lineage: Bacteria
Description: partial 16S ribosomal RNA
Rfam family: Bacterial small subunit ribosomal RNA
Source: RNAcentral